RNAcentral lists this ribosomal RNA (450 nucleotides) under uncultured bacterium. RNAcentral's name for it is "partial 16S ribosomal RNA". It matches the Rfam family "Bacterial small subunit ribosomal RNA", at positions 354 to 796 of the family's 1533-position model. The record is from RNAcentral.
GUGGGGAAUAUUGGACAAUGGGCGAAAGCCUGAUCCAGCCAUGCCGCGUGUGUGAAGAAGGUCUUCGGGUUGUAAACUGCUUUUGUACGGAACGAAACGGUCCGGGUUAAUACCCUGGGCUAAUGACGGUACCGUAAGAAUAAGCACCGGCUAACUACGUGCCAGCAGCCGCGGUAAUACGUAGGGUGCAAGCGUUAAUCGGAAUUACUGGGCGUAAAGCGUGCGCAGGCGGUUUUGUAAGACAGGCGUGAAAUCCCCGGGCUCAACCUGGGAAUUGCGCUUGUGACUGCAAGGCUGGAGUGCGGCAGAGGGGGAUGGAAUUCCGCGUGUAGCAGUGAAAUGCGUAGAUAUGCGGAGGAACACCGAUGGCGAAGGCAAUCCCCUGGGCCUGCACUGACGCUCAUGCACGAAAGCGUGGGGAGCAAACAGGAUUAGAUACCCGGGUAGUCC